Molecule: ribosomal RNA, 446 nt
Filed under: uncultured bacterium
Lineage: Bacteria
Description: bacterial SSU rRNA
Rfam family: Bacterial small subunit ribosomal RNA
Source: RNAcentral
CCCAGACUCCUACGGGAGGCAGCAGUGGGGAAUAUUGCACAAUGGGGGAAACCCUGAUGCAGCGACGCCGCGUGAGUGAAGAAGUAUUUCGGUAUGUAAAGCUCUAUCAGCAGGGAAGAAGAAGGACGGUACCUGACUAAGAAGCCCCGGCUAACUACGUGCCAGCAGCCGCGGUAAUACGUAGGGGGCGAGCGUUAUCCGGAUUUACUGGGUGUAAAGGGAGCGUAGACGGUUAAUCAAGUCUGAAGUGAAAGCCCGCGGCUCAACUGCGGAACGGCUUUGGAAACUGAGUAACUGGAGUGCUGGAGGGGCAGGCGGAAUUCCUGGUGUAGCGGUGAAAUGCGUAGAUAUCAGGAGGAACACCGGUGGCGAAGGCGGCCUGCUGGACAGUAACUGACGUUGAGGCUCGAAAGCGUGGGGAGCAAACAGGAUUAGAUACCCCCGUA